This 223-nucleotide ribosomal RNA is filed under the name uncultured bacterium. RNAcentral's name for it is "partial 16S ribosomal RNA". It matches the Rfam family "Bacterial small subunit ribosomal RNA", at positions 32 to 227 of the family's 1533-position model. The record is from RNAcentral.
AAUCAACGCUGGCGGCGUGCCUCAGACAUGCAAGUCGAACGCGAAAGUUUCCUUCGGGAGAUGAGUAGAGUGGCGCACGGGUGAGUAACACGUGAGUAAUUUACCUCGGGUGGGGAAGUACUAACCGGAAACGGUUAGUUAAUACCGCAUAAUGCAGCGGCAUCAAUGAUGACAGUUGUUAAAGCGGGGGAGUUGGAGCAAUCCGACCUCGCGCCUGAAGAAG